Long non-coding RNA from Brassica oleracea var. oleracea, 815 nucleotides. RefSeq lists it as uncharacterized. NCBI's taxonomy places the organism in Eukaryota, Viridiplantae, Streptophyta, Magnoliopsida, Brassicales, Brassicaceae. The record is from RefSeq and is a predicted model, not a curated record. The transcript is spliced from 3 exons.
ACUAGACUCAAAAUCAAAAGCUAGGGUUCCAUCGAAAAGUUGUCAGAUUCGAUUUCGCCGGUGAUUAAAUCCUGUGAGAAGGGCUUUGAUUUCUCUGGAAAGCGUUGGAAACUUUUUCUGUUGAGAAGGCUCAAUUUGGCGGGGUCUUGUUAUCUCCGCUACCAAACUCUUUGGUGAUCUCUAUCGACUUUUCUGCAGCAAGUCAAAACUAUUUAACACCGGUUAAAUGAUUUAUGGGUGGAUAACAGUGGUGGUGGCAGAGGAAGAGAUCGUUGUUUUUGUGGUGAUGUAAGGAGCGGUGGCAGAGGAAGAGACGGUUGUGGCCGUGGAUUCAGACUUAGUUUCACUACCUAAGGAUCAAUGAGCAGGUGCAGUUUGAAUUAUAUUACAUGUAUGUUUACACGAUGGAUGAUAGUGUUUGGACGAGAAUGAAGACGACGGUGGAUUGGCCAGUGUUCUGAAAGUAGUCAAGGAAGCUCGCUGUGGAUUUUUAAAAGGUCUAUAUGUGUGAGAAGAGGACAACUGGAACCAUAUGCUUCAAGACGAUGGAAGAUAUAUGAUGCAACACGAAUACAAGAGCUUAUGAAGAAAAUAAAACUAUUCAAACUCCAACCGCUUGCGAAGACUGAAGAGGCUUCUAUACUUUGCUUAAUGUUGUGUGUAUGUCUUUUUGCAUCAAUAAUCCAGUUCAGUGUUAACUAUGUUUAUGGAGUUUAAUAUCUGAGAGUGUUAAGCUUUUAACUGAAUAAAUGUAUAGAGAUAGUUCCUUCGUCUCUACCUUCUCUUGAAUCUGCAGUUUUUCAUAUGUUUUUACU